UGGGGAAUAUUGGACAAUGGGGGCAACCCUGAUCCAGCAAUGCCGCGUGUGUGAAGAAGGUCUUCGGAUUGUAAAGCACUUUCGACGGGGACGAUGAUGACGGUACCCGUAGAAGAAGCCCCGGCUAACUUCGUGCCAGCAGCCGCGGUAAUACGAAGGGGGCUAGCGUUGCUCGGAAUGACUGGGCGUAAAGGGCGUGUAGGCGGUUUACACAGUCAGAUGUGAAAUCCCCGGGCUUAACCUGGGAGCUGCAUUUGAUACGUGUAGACUAGAGUGUGAGAGAGGGUUGUGGAAUUCCCAGUGUAGAGGUGAAAUUCGUAGAUAUUGGGAAGAACACCGGUGGCGAAGGCGGCAACCUGGCUCAUGACUGACGCUGAGGCGCGAAAGCGUGGGGAGCAAACAGGUUAGAUACCCUGGUAGUCCACGCUGUAAACGAUGUGUGCUAGAUGUUGGGUAACUUUGUUAUUCAGUGUCGCAGUUAACGCGUUAAGCACACCGCCUGGGGAGUACGGCCGCAAGGUUGAAACUCUAAAGU
This 535-nucleotide ribosomal RNA is filed under the name uncultured bacterium. RNAcentral describes it as "partial 16S ribosomal RNA". It matches the Rfam family "Bacterial small subunit ribosomal RNA", at positions 355 to 908 of the family's 1533-position model. The record is from RNAcentral.